UACGGAGGGUGCAAGCGUUGUCCGGAUUUAUUGGGUUUAAAGGGUGCGUAGGUGGCCUUAUAAGUCAGCGGUGAAAGUCUGCAGCUUAACUGUAGAACUGCCAUUGAUACUGUAGGGCUUGAGUACUGAUGAGGUAGGCGGAAUUGAUAGUGUAGCGGUGAAAUGCAUAGAUAUUAUCAAGAACACCGAUUGCGAAGGCAGCUUACUAAGGAGUUACUGACACUGAGGCACGAAAGCGUGGGGAUCAAACAGG
Molecule: ribosomal RNA, 253 nt
Filed under: uncultured bacterium
Lineage: Bacteria
Description: partial 16S ribosomal RNA
Rfam family: Bacterial small subunit ribosomal RNA
Source: RNAcentral